CACUGAAAUUCCAUAGCUGGGGUUUUCGUCAUAGCUUUCUUGGGUCACAUCGCCGGUAGCUGUGUCACCUGCUGUCUGCUGAACAUCUAAAUCGUAUCUUUUUCUGACCAGCAUUAAGCCCCUUUACGAUUUGUUCUUUGAUUUCUUGACCUUUGUUGCCUAUCGGCUCAUACUGCAAAAAGUUAGUCAAAAACAAUUCUGCAUCUCUUAGGAGCAGGAUCAC
This is a non-coding RNA of Pelobates cultripes (western spadefoot toad), 223 nucleotides long. Lineage: Eukaryota; Metazoa; Chordata; Amphibia; Anura; Pelobatidae. The record is from the annotation of a GenBank genome assembly.